RNAcentral lists this ribosomal RNA (251 nucleotides) under uncultured prokaryote. Its description in RNAcentral is "partial 16S rRNA". It matches the Rfam family "Bacterial small subunit ribosomal RNA", at positions 525 to 775 of the family's 1533-position model. The record is from RNAcentral.
ACGGGGGGUGCAAGCGUUGUUCGGAAUUAUUGGGCGUAAAGAGCGUGUAGGCGGCUGAAUAAGUCAGAUGUGAAAUCCCUGGGCUUAACCCAGGAAGUGCAUUUGAAACUAUUCAGCUUGAGUAGGGGAGAGGAAAGUGGAAUUCCUGGUGUAGAGGUGAAAUUCGUAAAUAUCAGGAGGAACACCGGUGGCGAAGGCGACUUUCUGGCACUAUACUCACGCUGAGCCGCGAGAGCGUGGGUAGCAAACAG